CCUACGGGAGGCAGCAGUGAGGAAUAUUGGUCAAUGGGCGGGAGCCUGAACCAGCCAAGUCGCGUGAGGGAAGACGGUCCUACGGAUUGUAAACCUCUUUUGCCGGGGAGCAACGGGGUCCUUGCGAGGGCCCGAUGAGAGUACCCGGAGAAAAAGCAUCGGCUAAUUCCGUCCCAGCAGCCGCGGUAAUACGGAGGAUGCGAGCGUUAUCCGGAUUUAUGGGGUUUAAAGGGUGCGUAGGCGGGCUGUUAAGUCGGCGGUGAAAUGUCGGGGCCAAACCCCGGCCUGCCGUUGAAACUGGCGGCCUCGAGUGGGCGAGAAGUAUGCGGAAUGCGUGGUGUAGCGGUGAAAUGCAUAGAUAUCACGCAGAACUCCGAUUGCGAAGGCAGCAUACCGGCGCCCUACUGACGCUGAGGCACGAAAGUGCGGGGAUCGAACAGGAUUAGAUACCCGAGUAGUC
This 460-nucleotide ribosomal RNA is filed under the name uncultured bacterium. RNAcentral's name for it is "partial 16S ribosomal RNA". It matches the Rfam family "Bacterial small subunit ribosomal RNA", at positions 338 to 795 of the family's 1533-position model. The record is from RNAcentral.